This 331-nucleotide ribosomal RNA is filed under the name uncultured eukaryote. RNAcentral describes it as "partial 18S ribosomal RNA". It matches the Rfam family "Eukaryotic small subunit ribosomal RNA", at positions 1470 to 1796 of the family's 1831-position model. The record is from RNAcentral.
CCCUUAGAUGUUCUGGGCCGCACGCGCGCUACACUGACGAAGUCAGCGAGCAUGUCCUACGCCGACAGGUGCGGGGAAUCUUGUCAAACUUCGUCGUGAUGGGGAUUGAUUAUUGAAAUUCUUGAUCAUCAACGAGGAAUUCCUAGUAAGCGCAAGUCAGCAGCUUGCGUUGAUUACGUCCCUGCCCUUUGUACACACCGCCCGUCGCUACUACCGAUUGAAUGGUUUAGUGAGAUCUUCGGAUUGGCGCCACUGCGGCUCAGCAAUGGGCUCGGUGGAUGCCGAAAAGUUGAUCAAACUUGAUCAUUUGGAGGAAGUAAAAGUCGUAACA